This 75-nucleotide transfer RNA is filed under the name Prototheca stagnorum. RNAcentral describes it as "tRNA-Arg". It matches the Rfam family "tRNA". From Rfam's summary of the family: Transfer RNA (tRNA) molecules are approximately 80 nucleotides in length. Their secondary structure includes four short double-helical elements and three loops (D, anti-codon, and T loops). Lineage: Eukaryota; Viridiplantae; Chlorophyta; Trebouxiophyceae; Chlorellales; Chlorellaceae. The record is from RNAcentral. RNAcentral also lists the same sequence under 1 other name.
GCGUCUAUAGCUCAGUGGCUUUAGAGCACGUGGCUACGAACCAUGGGGUCAAGGGUUCAAUUCCUUUUAGACGCA